AGAAUGACUCUUGACAACGGAUAUCUUGGCUCUCGCAUCGAUGAAGAGCGCAGCGAAAUGCGAUACUUGGUGUGAAUUGCAGAAUCCCGUGAAUCAUCGAGUUCUUGAACGCAAGUUGCGCCCAAAGCCCGUUUUCAGGCUGAGGGCACGCCUGCCUGGGUGUCACGC
This 168-nucleotide ribosomal RNA is filed under the name Korthalsella salicornioides. RNAcentral's name for it is "5.8S ribosomal RNA". It matches the Rfam family "5.8S ribosomal RNA". Rfam says of the family: 5.8S ribosomal RNA (5.8S rRNA) is a component of the large subunit of the eukaryotic ribosome. It is transcribed by RNA polymerase I as part of the 45S precursor that also contains 18S and 28S rRNA. The record is from RNAcentral. Lineage: Eukaryota; Viridiplantae; Streptophyta; Magnoliopsida; Santalales; Viscaceae.